UACUCGUCCACACCCCUUGUAAUCUCUCGGUGAAGAAGCCCUUUUGGCUUUAUGUCGGUCAUUAAUGGAUAAAGGAGAAAAAAAACUUGGGAUAUCCAGUACUCGAAGACGACUAUGACUUAACUUUGAAGUUUGAAACUAUUUUUAACUCGCGAAUCAGCGUUACAGCCUCUGCGUGUUGGGACUAGAAAGUCAUCACAGCUGAGUCUGCACAGGACGUCACUCUGUCGAGCUCCAAACAACAACUUCAUAGUUAUAGAGUCAAGAGGAGGAGCUGACCUGGAAGAUGAACAUGUCCUUUAGUACUGAGACAAGCAGCUUGAUCCAGCUGGUCAGCAUCCAUCUUUUAAGAACCGGGUGGAUCUGCAGGACAGACAGAUGAAGGAUGGAGACGUGUCUUUGAUUCUGAGGGACAUCAUAACUGCAGAUGCUGGAAAAUACAAGUAUCGUGUCUUCAAGAGAGGAACAAGCCGGAGGGAGAGAGCCCUUUUGAAUAAUGACUCCAUCAGCAUCAUCUACCUGAGUGUUGUUGAUCCUCCAGAGUUUCUACCAGAGCCAAAUGUCAUCGACUCCUCACUGAGGUCGUCCACCAGUCCAACCACUGGAAUCCAGCUGCUGCUCUCUAACUGGUCCACACAGCAGCUCAGACCUGACACAUUCACUG
Oreochromis niloticus (Nile tilapia) is the source of this 664-nucleotide long non-coding RNA. RefSeq lists it as uncharacterized. Lineage: Eukaryota; Metazoa; Chordata; Actinopteri; Cichliformes; Cichlidae. The record is from RefSeq and is a predicted model, not a curated record. The transcript is spliced from 3 exons.